GCCGAGAUGGCGGAAUGGGUAGACGCGGCGGACUCAAAAUCCGCUGUUAGCGAUAACAUGAGGGUUCGAGUCCCUCUCUCGGCA
This 84-nucleotide transfer RNA is filed under the name Candidatus Amphirhobacter heronislandensis. Its description in RNAcentral is "Betaproteobacteria bacterium AqS2 tRNA". It matches the Rfam family "tRNA". Rfam says of the family: Transfer RNA (tRNA) molecules are approximately 80 nucleotides in length. Lineage: Bacteria; Pseudomonadati; Pseudomonadota; Gammaproteobacteria; Candidatus Tethybacterales; Candidatus Tethybacteraceae. The record is from Rfam by way of RNAcentral.